This 29-nucleotide non-coding RNA is filed under the name Mus musculus (house mouse). Lineage: Eukaryota; Metazoa; Chordata; Mammalia; Rodentia; Muridae. The record is from RNAcentral.
UGUGCUCUGCCUUCCUCGUGACGUCAACU